UUUAUCACAAAAAAAUAGGCAUCGCUAAAUCUUUCAUCAUACGAAAAUAUAGGUUGUUACGUUUAAUUUGUUUUGCUUAGAUAGUAUGCUUUGAAAGCCUAAUUAGUUGUUAAGCAAACGAUGAAAAACACAACAUUCAAAUUGCAUUGCUCCGUCAAACUCGGUUCGAGAAUUACGUACAUUGCAAUCAUUCAAUGACGAUCAUCGACCGGCCAGCAGAGUCAGUGAACACGAUCACGCUGGGAGAAACUGGGGAGAUAAUCGGUAUCAAUACACAUACUCGAACAACCAGAGGCAGCUACCACACUAGGAGAUCAUACCGUGGACAAGUGAGAAGCGUCGCCACCACUACAUGAGAGCACGAGAGAAGGAAUGGAGCGAAAGAUCCGUCGGCAUCAUCAUGCUGGAGAAGUUAAGUUCAACACGGCACGCACACCAUUAAAGCCCGCCGGCAGAACAAGUGAACGAUCGCAAAGGAGUGGAGUUUAAUUGUCUUCCAUCUGUAAGCCAAACCGCGUGUGCCGUUCAGUCGGCGGUGAAAAUUUCCAUUUCGGAAUUGAACAAAGUGCGUUCGUUAGAAAACCCCUCGAAGACGGCCCACUGGAUUAGCUGAUCUUAUUCUCGACCUGUGAGCAGGUGUAGCACCCGGAAACCUGUGUAAGAAAUCGAUUGGCCAGAUGGAAGAACAACAGGCCAAAAGAAGGUGAGCCGAGUGAUCAUGGCUUCGGCCUAAAUUUUGCGAAACUAAUUUCCGCCAUCUUUGAUUUGGCAGCUAAAUCCGCGUGUGCUUUCCAAGAAGGAGGGAUUCGUCGAAAAAACAAGACCGUCUGGAUUGUCGGCCGCCAUUGCCGAAAAUCAUUCCCGAUUGGAAAUAGAUGACUGUCCACGCACGGACUCUGGAUUAAACACGCUAGGUGGAGACAAUCGUGUGAAGAGCAGGAGAAAGUCGAGAAUCAUCACCGGUCAAGCCGAAAGCCAACUCGAUCGCCAGAACUAUCCCGACAGAAGCGACUUAGACCGGAUCACGUCGCAGAGCAGAGAGCCCCUCUAGAAGGGUAAGAUUCGCGCUAGCUGAUCUGCAGAGAAUUUUGCUGACGUUUCGUCGCCUGCAGGGCUCUUUUCUUUCUUACAGUUUUGCGCACUCAACGUGCCUAGAGGACGAGACAGGUCGCAGGGUCGCGGCGUCGUAAAUCGAACAUUCCGUUCGCAAUAUCACCCACCCCACACCCGAAGAGCAGUCGCGCCAAGCAUAGCGCGCAGGACAGAGGAUUUCCGUAGCGGAGUUGCCACGACAUUCAGGCGAGACGCGUAAUACGGAGGUUUGCUGUACCGGAGGAGUUUUGAUCGGGGGUGUGCCUAUCGAAAGGUGGUGGAUAUGUUGGCUAGGAAGGCGGCAGCUGUGCAGCAUCAACAGGACCGGCGCAAGGCUUCCCUGGAAGAUUAUCCGGUGGCGUAAGAGCAUGCAGAGUCAGUGAGUCCUAGAGCUUAAGAGCAAUGCAUAUUAGCUUUUAAGAAUCCUAGUGCAGGAUAGCGUAGGAGGUCUCAGGACCGAGAAUAGGAGGCCAGGACAGGCAAAAUGUUGAAUAUACGCAUUUAAAAUGAA
Aedes aegypti (yellow fever mosquito) is the source of this 1603-nucleotide long non-coding RNA. RefSeq lists it as uncharacterized. The record is from RefSeq and is a predicted model, not a curated record. NCBI's taxonomy places the organism in Eukaryota, Metazoa, Arthropoda, Insecta, Diptera, Culicidae. The transcript is spliced from 2 exons.